CUUGGUAUAGCUUAGUUUAAAGUUUGGGAUUCUUACUCUCAGGAUGUCUUUAUGACUGCCGAGA
This 64-nucleotide transfer RNA is filed under the name Scutogyrus longicornis. RNAcentral's name for it is "tRNA-Lys". The record is from RNAcentral. Lineage: Eukaryota; Metazoa; Platyhelminthes; Monogenea; Dactylogyridea; Ancyrocephalidae.